This is a non-coding RNA of Triticum aestivum (bread wheat), 136 nucleotides long. The record is from Rfam. NCBI's taxonomy places the organism in Eukaryota, Viridiplantae, Streptophyta, Magnoliopsida, Poales, Poaceae.
AUUCUACUCCCUCCGUUGCACAAUACAUGCCUUCUAUUUGUCAAAAUAUAUAUGUAUCUAGACAUGUUGUAGUAUAUAGGCACAUCCAUUUUUGGACAAAUGGAAGUCAAGUAUUUUGGAACGGAGGGAGUACAAA